GAUGAACGCUGGCGGCGUGCUUAACACAUGCAAGUCGAACGGGAAUGUUUCGCUGAUGCGAUUUCGGUCAAAUCUUGAAGCAUUUUAGUGGCGGACGGGUGAGUAACGCGUGGGUAACCUGCCCUGUACAGGGGGACAACAGUUGGAAACGACUGCUAAUACCGCAUAAGCGCACAGCUUCGCAUGAAGCAGUGUGAAAAACUCCGGUGGUACAGGAUGGACCCGCGUCUGAUUAGAUAGUUGGUGAGGUAACGGCCCACCAAGUCAACGAUCAGUAGCCGGCCUGAGAGGGCGAACGGCCACAUUGGGACUGAGACACGGGCCCAAACUCCUACGGGAGGCAGCAGUGGGGAAUAUUGCACAAUGGGGGAAACCCUGAUGCAGCGACGCCGCGUGAGUGAAGAAGUAUUUCGGUAUGUAAAGCUCUAUCAGCAGGGAAGAAAGACAUGACGGUACUUGACUAAGAAGCCCCGGCUAACUACGUGCCAGCAGCCG
This 495-nucleotide ribosomal RNA is filed under the name uncultured bacterium. Its description in RNAcentral is "bacterial SSU rRNA". It matches the Rfam family "Bacterial small subunit ribosomal RNA", at positions 28 to 517 of the family's 1533-position model. The record is from RNAcentral.